GAGCCUUGAAUACAGCCCAGAUUGUGAGUGCAGACCUGCCUAAACUAAUUUACAGCUACCAUUGACUCCAGAUCCAUGCCUUUCAGCUAACAAGGGCCUUAGCUCACAGUGCUUGGAAGAGCUACACUGCUUUUUUUAACAGCAAUUAUAAGAGUGCUAACAAGAAUCUAAGGAUUUGGAGCAUCAAGGAAGGUACUUCUUUUACUCUGGAAUCAUUGUAUCUGAUUUUCCUCACUGAAUUCUGAUCUAAUGCCAUGAAUGC
Molecule: long non-coding RNA, 262 nt
Filed under: Bos taurus (domestic cattle)
Lineage: Eukaryota; Metazoa; Chordata; Mammalia; Artiodactyla; Bovidae
Description: long non-coding RNA NONBTAT015335
Source: RNAcentral